CGAAUGCUGACAUAAGUAACGAUAAAGCGGGUGAAAAGCCCGCUCGCCGGAAGACCAAGGGUUCCUGUCCAACGUUAAUCGGGGCAGGGUGAGUCGACCCCUAAGGCGAGGCCGAAAGGCGUAGUCGAUGGGAAACAGGUUAAUAUUCCUGUACUUGGUGUUACUGCGAAGGGGGGACGGAGAAGGCUAUGUUGGCCGGGCGACGGUUGUCCCGGUUUAAGCGUGUAGGCUGGUUUUCCAGGCAAAUCCGGAAAAUCAAGGCUGAGGCGUGAUGACGAGGCACUACGGUGCUGAAGCAACAAAUGCCCUGCUUCCAGGAAAAGCCUCUAAGCAUCAGGUAACAUCAAAUCGUACCCCAAACCGACACAGGUGGUCAGGUAGAGAAUACCAAGGCGCUUGAGAGAACUCGGGUGAAGGAACUAGGCAAAAUGGUGCCGUAACUUCGGGAGAAGGCACGCUGAUAUGUAGGUGAAGCGACUUGCUCGUGGAGCUGAAAUCAGUCGAAGAUACCAGCUGGCUGCAACUGUUUAUUAAAAACACAGCACUGUGCAAACACGAAAGUGGACGUAUACGGUGUGACGCCUGCCCGGUGCCGGAAGGUUAAUUGAUGGGGUUAGCGGUAACGCGAAGCUCUUGAUCGAAGCCCCGGUAAACGGCGGCCGUAACUAUAACGGUCCUAAGGUAGCGAAAUUCCUUGUCGGGUAAGUUCCGACCUGCACGAAUGGCGUAAUGAUGGCCAGGCUGUCUCCACCCGAGACUCAGUGAAAUUGAACUCGCUGUGAAGAUGCAGUGUACCCGCGGCAAGACGGAAAGACCCCGUGAACCUUUACUAUAGCUUGACACUGAACAUUGAGCCUUGAUGUGUAGGAUAGGUGGGAGGCUUUGAAGUGUGGACGCCAGUCUGCAUGGAGCCGGCCUUGAAAUACCACCCUUUAAUGUUUGAUGUUCUAACGUUGGCCCCUGAUCGGGGUUGCGGACAGUGUCUGGUGGGUAGUUUGACUGGGGCGGUCUCCUCCUAAAGAGUAACGGAGGAGCACGAAGGUUGGCUAAUCCUGGUCGGACAUCAGGAGGUUAGUGCAAUGGCAUAAGCCAGCUUGACUGCGAGCGUGACGGCGCGAGCAGGUGCGAAAGCAGGUCAUAGUGAUCCGGUGGUUCUGAAUGGAAGGGCCAUCGCUCAACGGAUAAAAGGUACUCCGGGGAUAACAGGCUGAUACCGCCCAAGAGUUCAUAUCGACGGCGGUGUUUGGCACCUCGAUGUCGGCUCAUCACAUCCUGGGGCUGAAGUAGGUCCCAAGGGUAUGGCUGUUCGCCAUUUAAAGUGGUACGCGAGCUGGGUUUAGAACGUCGUGAGACAGUUCGGUCCCUAUCUGCCGUGGGCGCUGGAGAACUGAGGGGGGCUGCUCCUAGUACGAGAGGACCGGAGUGGACGCAUCACUGGUGUUCGGGUUGUCAUGCCAAUGGCACUGCCCGGUAGCUAAAUGCGGAAGAGAUAAGUGCUGAAAGCAUCUAAGCACGAAACUUGCCCCGAGAUGAGUUCUCCCUGAGACUUUAAGUCUCCUGAAGGAACGUUGAAGACGACGACGUUGAUAGGCCGGGUGUGUAAGCGCAGCGAUGCGUUGAGCUAACCGGUACUAAUGAACCGUGAGGCUUAACCUU
RNAcentral lists this ribosomal RNA (1656 nucleotides) under Escherichia coli. Its description in RNAcentral is "partial 23S ribosomal RNA". It matches the Rfam family "Bacterial large subunit ribosomal RNA", at positions 1291 to 2925 of the family's 2925-position model. Lineage: Bacteria; Pseudomonadati; Pseudomonadota; Gammaproteobacteria; Enterobacterales; Enterobacteriaceae. The record is from RNAcentral.